Molecule: long non-coding RNA, 230 nt
Filed under: Brassica napus (rape)
Lineage: Eukaryota; Viridiplantae; Streptophyta; Magnoliopsida; Brassicales; Brassicaceae
Description: long non-coding RNA (BNAP_LNC021205)
Source: RNAcentral
GGUCAGCACUUCCAGGAGACUUAGAAAUUGUCCUUGGAGAGAUGCUCGGUUCCAACCAUACAAGCCGUAUAAGCCGAGAACCUAUCGCGGACUUUAAAUCGGUAUGGAAUCAAGUUGAAACUGUAACGGGAUACGUAAGCCGAAUUAGUCAUCGCACCCCUUAAACCCAGAAGUAAGCCUAGGUCUUGCCCUAAACCCAUCACACUGGUCUCUAACAUCUCUAGGCAUGA